Molecule: transfer RNA, 76 nt
Filed under: Bacillota bacterium
Lineage: Bacteria; Bacillati; Bacillota
Description: tRNA-Lys
Rfam family: tRNA
About the family: Transfer RNA (tRNA) molecules are approximately 80 nucleotides in length. Their secondary structure includes four short double-helical elements and three loops (D, anti-codon, and T loops).
Source: RNAcentral
GGGCGCGUAGCUCAGCUGGAAGAGCAGCUGACUCUUAAUCAGCGGGUCGUAGGUUCGAACCCUACCGCGCCCACCA